RNAcentral lists this ribosomal RNA (301 nucleotides) under uncultured bacterium. RNAcentral describes it as "partial 16S ribosomal RNA". It matches the Rfam family "Bacterial small subunit ribosomal RNA", at positions 509 to 807 of the family's 1533-position model. The record is from RNAcentral.
CAGUCGCCACGGGAAUACGGAGGGUGCAAGCGUUAUCCGGAUUUAUUGGGUUUAAAGGGUCCGUAGGCGGAUCUGUAAGUCAGUGGUGAAAUCUCACAGCUUAACUGUGAAACUGCCAUUGAUACUGCAGGUCUUGAGUAAAUUUGAAGUGGCUGGAAUAAGUAGUGUAGCGGUGAAAUGCAUAGAUAUUACUUAGAACACCAAUUGCGAAGGCAGGUCACUAAGAUUUAACUGACGCUGAUGGACGAAAGCGUGGGGAGCGAACAGGAUUAGAUACCCGUGUAGUCCCUGUCUCUUAUAC